UUAAGUGCAUGUGGUGGAUGCCUUGGCAGUCAGAGGCGAUGAAAGACGUGAUAGCCUGCGAAAAGCUCCGGGGAGGCGGCAAAUAUCCUUUGAUCCGGAGAUGUCUGAAUGGGGGAACCCACCUACUUUAAGGUAGGUAUUGCAACAUGAAUACAUAGUGUUGCAAGGCGAACGAGGGGAAGUGAAACAUCUCAGUACCCUUAGGAAAAGAAAUCAAUUGAGAUUCCCUCAGUAGCGGCGAGCGAACGGGGAUCAGCCCAUUAAGUUAUGUGUGUUUUAGUGGAACGCUCUGGGAAGUGCGAACGUAGAGGGUGAUAUUCCCGUACACGAAAGGGCACACAUAAUGAUGACGAGUAGGGCGAGGCACGUGAAACCUUGUCUGAAUAUGGGGGGACCAUCCUCCAAGGCUAAAUACUCCUGACUGACCGAUAGUGAACCAGUACCGUGAGGGAAAGGCGAAAAGAACCCCUGUGAGGGGAGUGAAAUAGAUCCUGAAACCGCAUGCAUACAAGCAGUGGGAGCACCUUCGUGGUGUGACUGCGUACCUUUUGUAUAAUGGGUCAGCGACUUAUAUUCAGUAGCGAGGUUAACCGUAUAGGGGAGCCGUAGAGAAAUCGAGUCUUAAUAGGGCGUUUAGUUGCUGGGUAUAGACCCGAAACCAGGCGAUCUAUCCAUGAGCAGGUUGAAGGUUGGGUAACACUAACUGGAGGACCGAACCCACUGUCGUUGAAAAGCCAGGGGAUGACUUGUGGAUAGGGGUGAAAGGCUAAUCAAGCCUGGUGAUAGCUGGUUCUCCCCGAAAGCUAUUUAGGUAGCGCCUCGGACGAAUACCAUAGGGGGUAGAGCACUGUUUCGGCUAGGGGGUCAUCCCGACUUACCAAACCGAUGCAAACUCCGAAUACCUAUGAGUACUAUCCGGGAGACAGACUGCGGGUGCUAACGUCCGUAGUCAAGAGGAAAACAAUCCAGACCGCCAGCUAAGGCCCCAAAAUCAUAGUUAAGUGGGAAACGAUGUGGGAAGGCAUAGACAGCUAGGAGGUUGGCUUAGAAGCAGCCACCCUUUAAAGAAAGCGUAAUAGCUCACUAGUCGAGUCGGCCUGCGCGGAAGAUGUAACGGGGCUAAAACUAUGUGCCGAAGCUGCGGAUGUAUACUUUGUAUACGUGGUAGGGGAGCGUUCUGUAAGCCGAUGAAGGUGUGUUGAGAAGCAUGCUGGAGGUAUCAGAAGUGCGAAUGCUGACGUGAGUAACGACAAAACGGGUGAAAAACCCGUUCGCCGAAAGACCAAGGGUUCCAGUCCAACGUUAAUCGGGGCUGGGUGAGUCGACCCCUAAGGCGAGGCCGAAAGGCGUAGUCGAUGGGAAAAUGGUUAAUAUUCCAUUACUUCUGUGUAAUGCGAUGAGAGGACGGAGAAGGCUAAAUCAGCCUGGCGUUGGUUGUCCAGGUGAAAGGAUGUAGGCAUGUAUCUUAGGCAAAUCCGGGGUACUCUAUGCUGAGAUCUGAUAGCAAGCUGUACUUGUACAGCGAAGUGGUUGAUGCCAUGCUUCCAGGAAAAGUCUCUAAGCUUCAGUUACACAGGAAUCGUACCCGAAACCGACACAGGUGGUCAGGUCGAGUAGACCAAGGCGCUUGAGAGAACUCUGCUGAAGGAACUAGGCAAAAUGGUACCGUAACUUCGGGAGAAGGUACGCUGUUGUUGGUGAUGGAACUCGCUUCCUGAGCUGACGACAGCCGCAGAAACCAGGCCGCUGCAACUGUUUAUUAAAAACAUAGCACUCUGCAAACACGAAAGUGGACGUAUAGGGUGUGAUGCCUGCCCGGUGCUGGAAGGUUAAUUGAUGGGGUUAGCGUAAGCGAAGCUCUUGAUCGAAGCCCCAGUAAACGGCGGCCGUAACUAUAACGGUCCUAAGGUAGCGAAAUUCCUUGUCGGGUAAGUUCCGACCUGCACGAAUGGCAUAAUGAUGGCGGCGCUGUCUCCAGCAGAGGCUCAGUGAAAUCGAAAUCGCUGUGAAGAUGCAGUGUACCCGCGGCUAGACGGAAAGACCCCGUGAACCUUUACUGCAGCUUGACACUGAACUUUGACCUUACUUGUGUAGGAUAGGUGGGAGGCUUUGAAGCUGGAACGCUAGUUCCAGUGGAGCCGUCCUUGAAAUACCACCCUGGUAAUGUUGAGGUUCUAACUCUGUCCCGUGAUCCGGGACGAGGACCGUGUCUGGUGGGUAGUUUGACUGGGGCGGUCUCCUCCUAAAGAGUAACGGAGGAGUACGAAGGUGCGCUCAGCGUGGUCGGAAAUCACGCGUAGAGUAUAAAGGCAAAAGCGCGCUUAACUGCGAGACCCACAAGUCGAGCAGGUACGAAAGUAGGUCUUAGUGAUCCGGUGGUUCUGUAUGGAAGGGCCAUCGCUCAACGGAUAAAAGGUACUCUGGGGAUAACAGGCUGAUACCGCCCAAGAGUUCAUAUCGACGGCGGUGUUUGGCACCUCGAUGUCGGCUCAUCUCAUCCUGGGGCUGAAGCAGGUCCCAAGGGUAUGGCUGUUCGCCAUUUAAAGAGGUACGCGAGCUGGGUUUAGAACGUCGUGAGACAGUUCGGUCCCUAUCUACCGUGGGCGCUGGAAAUUUGAGAGGAUCUGCUCCUAGUACGAGAGGACCAGAGUGGACGAACCUCUGGUGUACCGGUUGUGACGCCAGUCGCAUCGCCGGGUAGCUAUGUUCGGAAGGGAUAACCGCUGAAAGCAUCUAAGCGGGAAGCCUACCUCAAGAUAAGAUUUCCCUAGGACUUUAUGUCCUCUAAAGAGCCGUUCGAGACUAGGACGUUGAUAGGUUGGAUGUGGAAGCAUAGUGAUAUGUGAAGCUGACCAAUACUAAUUGCUCGUGAGGCUUGACU
This 2881-nucleotide ribosomal RNA is filed under the name Acinetobacter baumannii. RNAcentral's name for it is "bacterial LSU rRNA". It matches the Rfam family "Bacterial large subunit ribosomal RNA". RNAcentral also lists the same sequence under 8 other names. The record is from RNAcentral. Lineage: Bacteria; Pseudomonadati; Pseudomonadota; Gammaproteobacteria; Moraxellales; Moraxellaceae.